ACAGUACAAACUGAUCAGGUGUAGGAUUCCUAUCACCGGGUUGCAUUUGCGACAGCAGGUAACAUAACAUCUGCGGGACAGU
RNAcentral lists this non-coding RNA (82 nucleotides) under human gut metagenome. RNAcentral's name for it is "NiCo riboswitch". It matches the Rfam family "NiCo (Nickel/Cobalt) riboswitch aptamer". RNAcentral also lists the same sequence under 1 other name. The record is from RNAcentral.